GACGAACGCUGGCGGCGUGCUUAACACAUGCAAGUCGAGCGGUAAGGCCCUUUCGGGGGUACACGAGCGGCGAACGGGUGAGUGACACGUGGGUGACCUGCCCUUAGCUCUGGGAUAAGCCUGGGAAACUGGGUCUAAUACCGGAUAUGACUCCAUAACGCAUGUUGUGGGGUGGAAAGCCUUGUGCGGCUAGGGAUGGGCCCGCGGCCUAUCAGCUUGUUGGUGGGGUGAGGCCUACCAAGGCGACGACGGGUAGCCGGCCUGAGAGGGCGACCGGCCACACUGGGACUGAGACACGGCCCAGACUCCUACGGGAGGCAGCAGUGGGGAAUCUUGCGCAAUGGGCGAAAGCCUGACGCAGCGACGCCGCGUGGGGA
This 377-nucleotide ribosomal RNA is filed under the name uncultured bacterium. RNAcentral's name for it is "bacterial SSU rRNA". It matches the Rfam family "Bacterial small subunit ribosomal RNA", at positions 28 to 407 of the family's 1533-position model. The record is from RNAcentral.